UCCUCUCUCGACUUUGAUUCAAGAGCUGGUGACUCAAAGCCGCAGGGAUGACGCAGAAUCUGUUCUGGCCAGGGCACAGCAGCAGUGGCAGCUGCAUCCGGUUUCCAGUGGCAGGAGAGACAGCUCUUCUGUGGCAGGGUGCGGUGUCCAGCAUCCAAGGACUUGGCAUUGCAGAUCACGAGAUAGACGAAUUUCCAGCCCCCUUUCCUGAUGGAUACCAUGAACUCACUAUGCCAAGGAUCCUGUUCUCAGAGCAAUAAGGGAAGAACACAUUUUCCAAAAUAUCGAAUUACCCAGUUACACCUAUUCACUUUUGCUAGAAGUCUACACUGAAAUUUGAUGAGCAUGAUGAAGAGGACGACUGCCUACUCCUACGAUGCACCACAGAAAGAAAUAGUACCGGGAAACAAAAACAGAAGUAGUCAAGAAUAGAGAAUGUCUAAUGCCGGCUCUGUUUCUAUUCCAGCAUCCUCCGUGAAGUGCAUAGUUUCCCUUGAUUAUAAAAUAGAGAUAAAUUCUAAAUGUGACAUUACAUAAAAAGGCAUUUAUUUUUACCCCCUCCUCUGCAUGGGGACAGUUAUCUGUCUUCAUCUCAAUGUGAGUUAGAAUAUAUAAUGCCCAAAUAAAAAAGAUUUCAAUUUUCAUUCA
Leptonychotes weddellii (Weddell seal) is the source of this 648-nucleotide non-coding RNA. The record is from RefSeq and is a predicted model, not a curated record. Lineage: Eukaryota; Metazoa; Chordata; Mammalia; Carnivora; Phocidae.